This 450-nucleotide ribosomal RNA is filed under the name uncultured bacterium. Its description in RNAcentral is "bacterial SSU rRNA". It matches the Rfam family "Bacterial small subunit ribosomal RNA", at positions 29 to 524 of the family's 1533-position model. The record is from RNAcentral.
AACGAACGCUGGCGGCAGGCUUAACACAUGCAAGUCGAACGCACUCUUCGGAGUGAGUGGCAGACGGGUGAGUAACGCGUGGGAACGUACCUUUCGGUUCGGAAUAACCCAGGGAAACUUGGGCUAAUACCGGAUGCGCCGGAAACGGGAAAGAUUUAUCGCCGAAAGAUCGGCCCGCGUCGGAUUAGCUAGUUGGUGGGGUAAAGGCCUACCAAGGCGACGAUCCGUAGCUGGCCUGAGAGGAUGAUCAGCCACACUGGGACUGAGACACGGCCCAGACUCCUACGGGAGGCAGCAGUGGGGAAUAUUGGACAAUGGGCGAAAGCCUGAUCCAGCCAUGCCGCGUGAGUGAAGAAGGCCUUAGGGUUGUAAAGCUCUUUCAGCGGGGACGAUAAUGACGGUACCCGCAGAAGAAGCCCCGGCUAACUUCGUGCCAGCAGCCGCUGUAAU